GUGUUUGCUUUGGCAGUACAUAUACUAAAAUUGGAAUGAUACAGAGAAGAUUAGCAUGGUGCCUGCACAAGGAUGACAUACAAAUUCAUGAAGCAUUCUAUAUUAAA
Molecule: small nuclear RNA, 107 nt
Filed under: Dasypus novemcinctus (nine-banded armadillo)
Lineage: Eukaryota; Metazoa; Chordata; Mammalia; Cingulata; Dasypodidae
Source: RNAcentral